Molecule: ribosomal RNA, 360 nt
Filed under: Triticum aestivum (bread wheat)
Lineage: Eukaryota; Viridiplantae; Streptophyta; Magnoliopsida; Poales; Poaceae
Description: partial small subunit ribosomal RNA
Source: RNAcentral
CUCCUCCCGUGGAUUCAGUUGGUCAGUCGGUCCACGCCGGACCUCAGCUCUCCACUGGUGUCCUCUCUUGUUGAUCGAUGGAGGCCGAAGACACACAGUUUCCAUCUUUGGGCUGGGGGGAUGACCGUGAUGCUCGAGGAUAUCUCCUUGAUCACCGGUCUUCCUAUCAACGGGAGGCCUCUCUGUAUGAGCACCAAUUCUGACGGGUGGCGCCAGCAGAUGAAUGCUCUUAUCGGUAUGGCUCCCACCGAAAGGGAGAAGACAAGAAGAAGAAGAAGGAAAGGAAAGCAGCCGGAGCUGCUUUCACGUGGAUCCAAAGGAACUUUGCGAAUUGCCCUACAGAUGCCACUGAUGAUGUGA